AAGGUCCGUGCGGAUUCUGAUUCGGAUUCGGAUUUCGAUUCUGAUCUGUGAUCUGUUCUGUUACUCUGUUACUUGAUCUGUUUGUUACUACUGAUUCUGUUACUGUGAUUGUGAUUCUGUUACUAUAUCAUUUGAUUCGAUUCUUUUGUUACUCAUACCAAUAGGUACGUUCAUCUUCAUCUUUUAACAAAAGGAGAAGAUCGAUCGGUUACUAUUCGGUUUUUUUGAUUUAUGAAUCUGUUUUGAUUGUUGAAUGUUGAUUUGUCAUGGAUCUGAAUUUUUGUUGUUUUUGUUUUGUUUAGGUGAUUAACGAUCGUGAAACUGGACGAUCAAGAGGUUUUGGUUUUGUGACAUUCGCUGAGGAGAAAUCGAUGAGAGAUGCAAUUGAGGAGAUGAACGGUCAGGAUAUUGACGGCAGGAAUAUUACUGUGAAUGAAGCUCAGUCCCGUGGUAGUGGUGGAGGAGGUAGAGGUGGUGGCGGCGGUGGUUAUGGUGGCGGCGGUGGUUAUGGAGGAGGCGGUGGUGGAUAUGGAGGAGGCGGUGGUCGUCGUGAUGGUGGAUACAGCAGAAGCGGUGGUGGUGGAGGCUAUGGGGGAGGAGGCGAUCGUGGAUAUGGUGGUGGAGGUGGUGGUGGUUAUGGUGGAGGUAGGGACCGUGGAUAUGGAGGUGGAGGUGGUGACCGUGGUUAUGGUGGUGGAGGUGGCGGUGAUCGCUACUCUCGUGGUGGUGGUGCUGAUAGCGGUGGAAACUGGAGGGAUUAGAAAAUUAGGUCUUCAGUUUGGUGGUUUAUGAUUAUGAAUGUUGUCAUGUUGAAUUAGUUUGAUUUAGUUGGUUGAAUUUAGUGUUUUGGCUAUGAUAUUUGUUCUGUUAUGGUUUAGUUUUGCUUUGUCGUGUUUUUGGUCCUGAAUCUGGUUUUGUAUAAACGAUUGAUUGAAAAGGAUAAUGAAAAAUUGGAUUCAACAAAUUCUUGGUUCUCUGUUUAUGGUUUUACUCUUAAUUUUGCGUGGAAUUUUAAUUCCAUGUGAUACGCAAGGGUAUUAUUUUUUGUCGGCAACAAAAACAGAAUUAAUACAAAAAUGUUUUAUAAUAAGUCUAAUGUUAUAACCACCAAAGGCCGGCUUUCUUUUAAAAAAGUGUGUUUGAUAUGGUGGUGGGAAGAAUUGAUUUUGAUAGUUACUUUUGAUUAGAAGUGAUUUAGAUAUGAAUUGAUUUAUGUUUGAAUCCAUUUCUUUAAAAGUAAUUCUUAUGAAUUAAUUUUGUUUGUAUAUUUUGAAUCAUAAUUGUUUUUAAAUUAUCAAAAUAGGUCCCAAUUUAAAUUACAUUACUUUUAUAUUUAACUUUGUUUAUUUUCCUUCAUAAUUUAUCAAGAAAUACGUAAAAAAAAUUAUAUGUUUAUAAAUUGUUUUAUUUACAUUAGUUUCAUUAAAUUAUUUUAACUUUUUUUAACAAUAAAAGAAAAAAUCCUAUGAUAAAUUUAAUGGGCCAGUGAGUUAAACCUAACAAAAAGCUCAUGUAUCACCUUCUUCAACCUAUUGUCACAACAACAAUAAAGCAGGCUGCAGAUCUUAAAAUAUGAAAACAAAUUACAAAGAAAGCAAGGGUAAAAUAGGAUGAUAAACAUGUCACACAUCAUCUUUAAAGGCUGAAACCACGUUUUUCCUCUGUAGAAGUUACGAAUUUGAGCUUCAGCAAAACCAUGUUUGAGACAAAAACCACGUUUCAUUCAUCCGAACAACAUGUUUAAGGAUAAAACGACGUUUGAAAAAUAGUAAAACACAUUUGGAGCCUCAAAAUGUGUUGCCAAACACAUACAAAAGAGGCCAGAUUUUUUAGCAGUAUAUGGUUAGAUUUCUUAAUUUUUUUUUGUGGUAAUAAUGUUUUAAUAUAUACGAUCAUAUGAGCUUCUUUUUUUUUGUUUUUUUUUAGAAAGUACGAUGAUGAGAUGCCAAAGGAUAAUGAUAAAUAUUUUUUUUGAUGUGAUAAUGAUAAAUCUUGAGAAAAAAGAAUGAUAAUGAUGAAAAUGACAACGUUUUUGUAAAGAAAAUGACAACAUUUUAUAUUCAAAUUAAUUGGUUGGUAGAAUACAAAAAAUUUAAAAUUUAUAAAAAAAUAACGUAAGCUAUUAAACAAACAUCACACGAAAUAGAUUAAUGCUAAAAAAAAUAGUUGUAAUAGUCUAUUGUAGCAUAUAUUUUUUUUUAAAAAUUCUUGAUUUUUUCAAAAUAAACUAUAACAAAUUGACUCUAAAUUAAAUAAAUAAAAUGUUUGAAACGUUAAUUGACAAAAUUCAAUUCUUAAAAUUUAAAAACGGUAAUUGACAAAAUUCAAUUCUCUCUAAAGUUAGUAUCAGUGAGUUAAUUUGUUUUGCAUUGGUUAUGUAAAAAAGAGAAUAAACUUUGGCAUCAAUAAAAAGUUAGAUGAUGUUAUUAGCACGGUGACAUCAAAAAUGCACAACUAUUGGUCUAUAAUUACACCGUUGAUACAAAUAUUCAACGAUACCAUUGGCCAAGAUUUUGGAUGGACAACUUGUUGCUCAACUGCUGAAGUGUGAUGACCGUCGAACAUGGAAUUAUAUUGGAGUAAACGAGUUAUAGUCAUUUUAAUCUUUGAAUGUGUAAUUAGAAGUCGUUAUAGUCAUUCGAUGUAUUGAAAUUUUAUAGUAUCUGAUAAUGUACGAUGUUAGUCAAAAUAAUCAUUUAUGUUAAAAUGUUUCGUUAACAUUGUCAUAUUAGCAAGUCGAUAUACUUAGUUAUUAUCCAAAUUAAUCCUUAGUUAUUGUCAUUGCAAUUUUGUACGAAUAGAGUUAAUGUAAGUGUUGAGGGGCUAUUUCAGUGUGAAAGAUUAUUUUGACUAACGAAAUGUACAACUAAAAAUUAUUUUAAAAUUUUGAUACAAUGUGAGACUAUUGUAGCUACUUAUUACAUUUUCAUAGAUCAAAGUGACUAUUAUCUCAAUUAUAUUUUAAUUUACAUCAAACUUGAGCAAAAUUAAGGUCAUGGUUAACCUUAUUUUUUUUGUCUUAGAAAUAAAAAUCAAGCAUUCAAGUAAAAUCUUUCCAGAACUAUUUCACCGGGGAAUAACAUUUGGGUUCCCAAUUAAUGUCAUUUUUGGAGAUAUUUGUAUAAUUGUUUAUAGCAGGUUAGUGGCUAAUAAAUACUUUAAUAAACACAUUCGUUUUUUUUGGGUAAACUAAUAAACACAUACAUGAUGGAACGUGUAGCGACUCAAAUUCAAAUUCAUAAUCAAAUCAUUGAGUUGUAACAACAAGGACGAGGAUAUAUCUCUCUUAUUAUAUGAUGUAAACCCAAGAUGAAGGUUCAAGAAUAAAAAUCUUUUCCAUGAUUCAAUUCAACUUUUCCAACUUUUUUAUUUCAAGAACUAACCUAAAAACACAAAUCAAGAAAUAAAGGAGAAAUUGAAACUUAGUGAAUCAUCCUGGAAGAUGAAAUAGAGAUGAAUGAUCGCUACUUUCAUGAGGAAGAUAAGAUAAAAAAAACAAAAUCGUCACAAGUUAUAUGAAAAGCCCCUUAAAAAAAUUCACAUGAUUCACUUAAGAUUUUAGGUUUGAUUUUCUUUGAUAUCAAUUUCGAUGAACUAAUUUGAAUAUUUUUUUUAAAAAAAAACACAUGAUUCGACCAAGAAUCUUAGGAAGGAUAUUCUCUACAUCACAUGCAAGUAUCAAACCUGUAAAUUUAUCUCCUUUAAUAUAAGAAAAGAACAUGUUGUGGAAAACCUCAAUAUGCCCUUUUCCCUUUUAAUGUAAAAAUCCCAAAUUUAGGGGUAAAUAUGGUCUAUUAUUUUACAUUUCUAAUUGGAUGACAUCACUUAAGGAUAACCGAUGACAUCUAACUGAAACAUAACAGUUGGUUUACUUUAUCUGCAGAUGUAUCUAACUUGCCAUACCAUUGGAACUAAACUAAACUGAACUCAUUACUUUUUAAAGGGAAAUUUGAAAAGUACAUUUUUUGGUUCAAAUAUCCUUUUAAGAGCUAGCAAUCAAUCAACAUACUCUAUGAGCUCACUUUCAACUAUUAUCUUACUUUAACACUACUACCAAACAUUGUCAUUCACGCCCCUCUCUCAUCUUGAAUCUGGUAAACUACUCUUCUAUUUUUUUAGUUGAUUGGUUCUUCCUAAAACAAUGAUACAUGUUCCUAUCUAAAGUUUUUCUAUGACUCAUUUACUUUAUGAUCUAUUUUUUGUUAGGUUUUCUGUUUAUACUCUUUUAUAUGUAUGUUUGCCUUCCAUACUCACAUCUGCUUUUUUUACUCUAUUAUCUGUUUUCAAUUUUUUUUUCUCUUUCAAACAUAUGUUGUGUUUGUUUAAGUUUGCCAAACAUACUGACAAUCUUCUGUUUAUCAAGUAGAUCUGAAAAAUGGAAAGACCAUGCCAGUUUAUUGGUGAUGUCACAGAUAAGUCAGAUUUUUGGAAGUUAACUGUUAGAGUCAAAGACAAGUGGACUGUUGUUAAGGAUGGCAAGGAACAUCUGGAGAUGAUUAUUGUUGAUGCUAAGGUCUUAUUGUUAUCACGAUUUUGGGGUAUCAAGUCAUUAAUUAGGCUUGAACCUUUCAAUCUUUGAUAUUCUCUAUUUUUUCUUGGGAAGGGCAAAAUUGAGAAAACCCUUAGAAAUUCUAAGUUCGGGGGUCGUUUUCGUUACGGGAAGGUGUUAGGCACCCGCAAUGACUAUAGUACUCUAUAGGAGCCGUUUUCUUAGUUUUAUGUCUACGCUUUAUUUUUAAUGCUAUUUAUUAAAAAGAAGUCGAUUAUGUUAAGAAUGGAGGGAGGAAAAUGUUUGAAGUUUUAUUUUAUUGGACUUGGAGAGGUUUUAACCUCAUGCCUACAUACCCUUUUAAGGGAUCAAACUCCAUGUAGUUCUCUUUCAAAAAUGUUUUUUUGCGUGUUUCAAUUGAUUUUAAAUUUUGAAAAAAUGGUUUUGAAAAAAAAAAAGAGGCCUUAAAGGCAUGAGAGAAGAAAAUGGUUAGUGGUUGGUUCAAUUGUUAUUAAAAAGUCUAAGUUGGAAUUAGAAGUUCGUUUGAGUUUGAUUAAGAAAAUAAAAGGUAAAAUUCAAUGGAGUUUUGACUCCAAGGUUUAUUUGGAAAAAAUUUCAAGUGAUGGAAUUUGCUUAUUUUGGAAAAUUGAUAUUUUUUCCUAAGUAUCGCGUUUCCUAAGCAUACAUCUAAAGCGGUAAACAUGCAACGUGUGUGCGUGUCAGUGCUUGUGUCGGUGUACAUCAUUAAAGUCCAUUGUCCGUUACAUUGACCCUAGUUUACAUUCUAUGGUCUUGCAAGAAAUUAAAAGGAAAUUUAAACUACCUAAAAUAUUACAUGACAUUUUAACAUAGAAAUUAAAAGGUAAAAAGAAAGCCUAAACUAUGAGAAAUUGAGAUGAAAAAGGUAAGAUGCUCAUGAGAUGGAUGAAACAUGAAAUGAAAUGGUUAGUAAUAUGAGGCAUAAAAUGGUAAGAAAAAGUAAACAAUAUUGAAUAGGAUAGCAAAAAGAAAAGAGCAAUGAAGUGAAAUAAAAUGGCAAAAUAUACCUAAAAUUUGUUAUAACACUUAGACAUGCACAUGACCCAUAAUUCUCUCACCAUAGCAAUUUUUAAAGAGGUUUGAUUUUAAGCUAUACUGUGAUAAUAACAAGGACACAUUCAAGCCAAGCAUUAUAACACAUUCAUAGAGAUAUUUUACACUUUAUUUCUUGACAAAAACAUACAUUACUUGCAAAACAAGAAAAAAAUGAAAAUUCACAUCCACAAACAGUAAAACACGCAUAUGAUCAGAGACAUAUUCAUCAUGAAAUUGCAUAUUAAUCACUCAUAUCAUGCACCAAGACCAUGAACACAAUGUGACGAAAAAUUCACAAGAAAUUCCAUUAAAAAGUAAAAAAAAAACAUCAAGAACUAUCACAUACAUUUUUUUAUUAGUUUUUCAAUGUGUAAAAGCAUCACAAGAAAUACCAAAAAUGAAUUAAAAACAAUAGGAAUUCUUCUAGAAUUUUUGAGAGAAAAUUUGAGCAAGCAGGGGUUCAAAUAGCAAUACAGCAAGGUGCAAGUAGCAAAAAAUAAAAAAACGCAGAAACAAACAAACUGCAAGCCCAAGCCCAAAACCCAUAAAUCCGGAUGCACAGGGAGCGUUGGAUUGAUCCAGAGAGGGAAACCCUAGAUCCAACGGCCAGGAAUGAAGGGGAUUGGACUGGUCUUGGACCGGUCCGGUUCACUGGCCUAUAAAAACGAGCUCACGCCAGUUUUUUCAUUCUUCUAUGUUCUCUCUCUCUCUAACUCUCACCUAGUGAGAGAAGCUCUCGCCUCUCUCCUCUCUCCCUCCGCCGGUUUCUGAAAGAAACGGCCGGAGAAGAUGAAGACUGGCCGGAACCUUCAUAGGUCCGCCGGAAACUUCAUCUUCUCCGGCGAGAUCUCCAGGUUCCGGUAACCUAAAAUCUCACCAGAAAUUCAAUUUUUUUGCAUCGUUCUUCUCGUCUCUAAACCCUAAACACGAAUCUAACAUUGAUUUUCACAAUCAAGGCUUGAAACAACGUAGAUCUGAAUUUUGUGUUACGGUUUUGAAAAUUACUUUUUAGGUUUUGUAGUUUUUUGAAUGUAACCGUUCAAACUCUUAUGGAUCUACACUGUUUCAUCCUUGUUGAUACUUUUUAAGGCAGAAAGAUUCGGUUUCAGUGUUACCUGAGAUUUUGAUUGGAGACCUUGAACUGGAAUCUUUGGAAAACUUGAAUCUUGGUGCUGUUUGUUGAUUUUUGUGUGAAAACCGAAAAUAAAUCGGUGUUCUUGCUGGUUUGAUUCUUCUUUCUUCUUCACCGGUUCAGAUUCUUGUUUCUUUCCUUCUUCUUCUUCUCCCUCAAACUCUGUGAUCGGUGCUUGAGUUUCUCACCUCCGGUGAGGAAUUCGCACCCUGAAUUGCAGUGGAAUCAAUUCGAUGAUGAAGAUUCACCAAUGAAUCUCUGAGAAUUGAAAAGGAACGAUGAAUCUGUUGAUGAUUUUGAUUCUGGAAAAAAAAUUAGGGUUUUUUGACUUGUUCUUGGUGAUUUUCCGUUUUGAUCCUAACUGAAAGGAGAGAGAAAGAUCUUCUAUGUUUGUGAUGUGGCGUGUGAUCUCUGGGUUUGUGUGGCACUGUGCUCUAUUUAUAAGCUGCCAUGUGUGUUUCUGAACCAAUGAGAGAAGACCACCUGUUUUUGGACUUAGGGACCUUUCUGCAAAAAGAAAAAAAAGAAGGACUGGACAGCAAAUAAGAAAAAGGGCUAAAAAGCAAAUUUAAAAAGUUUUGGACUAAAAUGCAAUUCUGGAAAUUAUUUGAGGGACUAAAAUGCAAUUAAAAAUAAAAUGAAUUAAAAUUGGUAAUUUGACCAAAUGUAAAGUGAAACCUAAAAUAAAAUCAACAAAAGGACUAAAAUGAACCAUCUACAAAAAUGAGGUAUUUUAAAAUACCUCUCUGCCGAAAUUUUGAUGGGAAAAGACCAAAAUGCCCCUAGGGACUAAACUGACUCAAACUGACUCAGAUGCAAUUUUGAAAUGAUUUUUUUAACCAAGACUCAACAAUGAUUUAUAAAACAAGUUGAAAAGACUCAGAGACAAUCACAAGGACUAAAAUGGGUUCCAUUGCAGGAAAUGAUCAAAAAUACCCUUUUUGUAUGAUUUUUUGAAAUAAAAUGCAAGAAAAGUAAUGUGAUGUUUCAGAGAGUUUUCAAAUGACUUGUAAUGCAAGAAAAGACACUUUGAAUAGUUUUAUGCAAGAAAAUCGAGCUUGAACGUACUUUGAGACAGAGACAGUAAAAUAUGCAGAUGAAAAGAGAGUAAAGAUUCAGAGUAAAACAACAGCGAAUUGACAAAUAUCAGUGUUAGAAAAGAAAUUUGAACGAGUAUUUUUAGGUCCAAAAUCAGGGUAUAACACUUAUUAUAUAUUUCCAUUCAUGCUACUAUUUCCUUGCUUCACUAAUUUAUUCACUCUUAAUUUAUUAACAUAUAAUGGUGUGUUUGUUUCCUUCUUAGGGUAGGGACAUACAAGUUGUUAUUCCUACGACAUACAAAGCCACCUAUGACAAAAUCUUAGAAGAAAACGCUACUUACACUUUAUGCAACUUUCAAGUGGUUAGCAAUGAUUUAGUGUUCAAAGCCUCAGAACAUAAGUUUCUUUUGAAAUGGACCGGUGGGACUACUGCUGAAGACAUCAAUGUUCAUGAUGUUCCUCAAUCUGACACCAAAUUCAAGCCGUUUGCUGAAAUUAUAUCUGGAAAAUGGAAACCUGAUAUUUUAGUUAGUGAGUUCAUUGUUGUUUAUAAUAAAUUGUUAUUAUUCAUUUUAUUUUAUUUGUUUGUUUCUAAGAAUCUUGCCCUGUUUUUUUUCUUUCAAGAUGCCAUUGAAGUUGUUCAGAAAAUGGGCUUUUGUCAACUGAACCAAGGUACUGGGAAAAAACUCCAGGUCAACUUUACUAUGAAAGACCUUAGGUGAGGAAUUUUGGUUGUCAACUGACAUUUUCCCUUGAAAACUAUAAAUAUCACAGCUAUUUUAUAAACUUUACUAUGUACAUUAUAAUGGUAGUAACAUAACUACUCUCAUCAUGCAGUGACAUUUCGAUUAACUGCACUUUAUGGGAAGAAUAUGCUGCACAGUUCAUUAAAUAUAACAGUGAAAGGAAAGAAGGUGGAUCCGUGGUUGUGAUGCUGAAGUAUGCCAAGAUCAAGGAAGAAGGUUUUACCCCUACAUCUGUUAGCUAUCACCAUAUGUGUUUCCUACAUGUAGUUCUGAUAUUAUAAUACUAACUUAUAUUGUUCAAACUUAUAACAGGACGCUUCCCACUAAGUGUUUCAAAUACUUAUACUUUCACAAAGUUGUACAUCAAUGAGGACAUUCAUGAGAUUAAUCUUUCAAGGGAAGGUUUGUUAUUGCUAUCAUGACAAUUCUAUAACUAUUUUACAUGAAUGAACAAUAUAUAACUAAUUUUAUUAUGUUUGUAUUAGUUUGCCUCGAGAGGAACAAAAUCAGUCCCAAAGCCAACUUCUGUGUACCCAAUCAUAUGGAUCUUCACAACUUUCUUCGGAGGCAGACCUCCUCUCCAAAAACUUGAUUCUCCCUCUAUCUAACAUGAAGUUUUUGGUUUAUAUGGCAUGGCACAAGUAAAUAUACUUUGAUUUAGCUCAUCCAUUGUACUCUAUCAUCGUAUUAUAUAAUAUAGUGCAUCAAACUAUUCUAUAUUAUUAUAUAAUAUAGUUAAAAGUUUCAUUCACCAUAUAUAUCAUAAAUACUUAACAUAUUAUAUACUACAACAUUAUUAUCUCCAACAAAUAUUUAUCAUCAUGGAUGUUGUUCAACUAAUGAUCCAAAAAGGACCACUGGAACAUUUCUCAGCAAUAAAAUUAUCAUUCCAGAUUCCAACUUUUACUUAUAUAUAACUUAAGUUUUAUUAUAAUUGCUAAUCAUCUUUUGUCACAAGUUCCUUCUAUAUCUUAUAUACAUUCUUCAAUUUUUUAAAUGGAAGUCGACCCAAUGUUUGUUGAAAAAUUUUCAGCUGAUUUCAUAGAUAAAUGGAACAUUAUACUUGAAGAUGGAUCGACAUUGGUGCUACAGCUGAACAAAAACUACUAUAAUCCUACUUUAAUAAGUGGUUGGAGUGACAUAAAAAAUUUAUAUAGUUUUCCGAAUAACGUUGAAGUUACAUUUGCUUAUUAUGGGAUGAAUAUUUUCAAAGUCACAAUGUUCAAUGAAGUAACAUGUACAUCUCAAAUCCCUAUAUUCCAUAGUCGAAGUACAAAAGCAAAUGAAACAAAGUGUUUUGAUAUAAGAUUAUUUGGAAAUGACUUGAAGAGAAACAAUUUGGUUGGUAUCAUAUAAUUCUUCUAUAUCUACUACCAUUAUUUUAUUCAAUUAAUUAAGUUUUUCAUUUUAUUUAAUUAUGCAGCAAUUACCAAACGAUUUCGCAUCAUUCCUACAUCAAAACGUAUGUGACAGCCUAAUUCUAUGUGGAGACAAUGGAGAUAAUCAAUCUUUCAAUAUCUUUUUCAACCAUGAUGAUAAUAUAACUACAAGAUUAGGGCCUUUGUGGAACAAAUUCUGUCAAACAAAUUUAUUUCAAUCAGGAUGCAGAAUUAGAUUUAAAUUUUCAAUCAUCAAUAGUUAUUAUUGUCAUGUUUUUCGUAUUUAAUAGUUUUUAAUGUAAUUUAUUUUUCCUUCAAUUAUAUCUACUGUUGUAUUAUCUAUCAUGCUUAUUUAUAUUUUACAACUUAGUACUAUAUUCUUAUAAUAUCUAUAUAAAAUUUAGUAAAUAAUCUGGUAAUUAACAUUUAGUAAAUCACAUAUGCAUCUAAUUUUAAUUGAUAAUACUAUAAAUACACCCGUGCGUUAGCACGUGUAUUUUUACUAGUUAUCAUAAAAAACUAACUGCAAGACUGUCUAAAAAAUAUAGGCUAAAAUAUGGUUUUGAUCCCUGCAAAUAUGUCUCGUUUUGGUUUUAGUCCCUGCAAUUUUUUUUUUGUUGUUUUUGGUCCCUGCCAAAUAUUUUGUUUUUGGAAAUAGUCCCUGCAGGGACUAUUUCCAAAAACAAAAUAUUUUAGGGACUAUUUCCAAAAACAAAAUAUUUUGCAGGGACCUUUUUCAAAAUCAAAAGAUUUUGCAUGGACUAUUUCUCUAAUAAAUGGUUAAGUCAUCAUGUGACACGUGUGCAAAUUAUCACAAAAGUGGAGUCAGGGACCAAAACCAAAAUGAGACAUAUUUGCAGGGACCAAAAACAACAAAUUUUUUUUGCAGGGACUAAAACCAAAACGAGCCAUAUUUGCAGGGACCAAAACCAUAUUUUAGCCAAAAAUAUAUUUAUGUGUGCAAGCCGACUAUUGGUUUUUGUUUUCCCUCGUUUAGCUUUCCGUCAACUUUGGGAAAUUCUUCACUUCCACUCUUUUUAUUUUUUUUAGACUUAAAUAUGUAAUCCGUUACGGUAAUUUAAACGCAUUUUGAUUUUCGUUCUUGUAAAAAUAAAUAAAUUAAAACAUCCCUAUAAUUUUUUUUUUUGUUUUUAAAAAGGUCCCUGACCCCACUAUUCAGUUGAAGGGGCAUGCCGCAAAAUUAAUUUUUGUUUAUUUUUUUUAAAAUUCUAAAAAUUCAUUUUUUAAAUUAAAAAAUUGGGAAAAUAAUAUUAAAAUCCUUAAAAUAAAAUAAAAAAUUGGAAAAUAAAAACUGAAAAUUAAAUUUUUUGAUUUUUAAUUAAUUUUUUUUUUCUUCAAAAUUCUGAAAAUUCAUUUUCUUUAAAUUUAAAAAAAUAAAAAAAAACUGAAAAUUAAAUUUUCGAAAAUUCAUUUUUUUUUAAUUCUGAAAAUUAAAUUAUAUUUUCAAAAGUUAUAAAUUUUGAGAUUAUAUAAUUUUUAAUUUUAUUUUUCAAAAAUUUAUUUCUAGAUUUUAAAAACACUAUUUUCCAAUUUUUUUAUUCAUAUUUCAAAAAAAAAAUUGAAUUUUUUUUAUGAUUUUUUAAUUUUUAAUUUUUUUUCCAAGAACGAAAAUUAAAACGCGUCCAAAUUACAGGGACGGAUUGCAUAUUUAAGCUUUUUUUUCUCAUUUUUCUAUCCAUCUUUUAAGUUUAAGAGCAUUUUGGCUCUUGCACACUUCUUGUGAACUAAGAAGGGAAAGAACAAUUUUGUGUGUGUUGUGAACAAAAUUGAAUUUGUUAGUGAAGCGUCAUGGUGGACUUCCCUAUCCUAGUUAUAUUAAGAUUUAGUUUUGUAACUAGUUUUGUACCGGCUACAUUAGUGCAACCACAUCACAAUCAUUAUACAAAAAUUUCUUUGAACUAGACACCUACGGUAAAAGAUAUUCUCUCUUCGUGAGGAGUCCUCAUUAUUCAUGUGAACUCCCAACAAUCUCGUCACCAUAAGCAAAUAACCUUGAAUAUGUGGUUCCUCACUUCCCUGUUUACUCUCACUAGGAUACUAGAAAUUAACCCAAAAAGAAAUGAUGAUAGUGUGUGAAUUAGCAAUCAUGAAUUGCACAAACAGAAUUCAAUUUAGUGAGUACAAUCAACACGAAAUCUAGAACUACAAUCAUGAAAUUGAGGAAACAAUUUGUAUUUUAUUUUUUCAAACAAAUUUAUUAUUAUAACAAUUUUUGUUUUUGAGGGUUCUAACAACUUUUCUUAAAACCCGUGAUAUUUGUAAAAUGGUUUUAUAAAAAGGGAUGGAGGGUGUACUUACAGUGAGUACAAUAUCUAAAACUAGAGUUUAUAAUUGUUUAGGUCAUGCCUUGAGAAUGCUCUCAAGAGGGGUAUUUGUAGCCUUCUUUAAACUUGCAUUUCCGUGACUUAGACCCCAAGUAACUUGGGCCUUCAGUCAUGCUCGUAGCGCUUUAGAUUGUAAGGGUGCGUCUAAGGUUAUUGUGGUCUUUAUGGAAUUCCAAUAUUGACAGUCGAGAGAGAGUACUCAAGAUUCAUGUUCACUAUUUCAUAUGAUCACAACAUAUAGUCACUUAGUAUAACACAUUUCAAGGAUCACCCAUUCACGACUCAUAUAAGGAUAGAUCACAGCAUAUAGUCACUUAGUAUAACACACAUUUCAAGGAUCACCCAUUCCCGACUCAUAAGGAUAUAAUCACAUAACCACAUCUUGAUAAAUUAUAUCACACAGUCAUUCUACAUAAAUUCAUCAAGCAAUCAUGUUAUCAUAACAUCUUAACCCAAACUAGACUUCUAGGUAGGGUUGGACAGAAUAUCCGUACCCACCCGAAAAUCGGCCAAACCGGUGAAACCGUGAACAUUCGGGUCGGGCGUAUAUGAACUGCAGGUUGGUGAUUCAUGCUUUUUUGGUUUUAUACAGUUAUGAACGGUCGGAUUCGGAUUGCAAAAAUCAAUCCAUCUGUACCCAGCAACCGACCGAUUUUAUGCCAAGAAUGAUAAAAAUUAACACUUUUACAAUGUGAAAGCUGGCUUGCAUAGGGAAGACGUGUUGUCUCUCUCUCAAUUGUCUUGGAACUCUCAAAAACUAUUCAAUUUCAAGGCAUUAAUUUAUGUCUAUUUUUAAUAUUUUAUAUUUUCAAAUCACUACUUUAUGACCAUAGUCAUUGCACAUCAGCAUACACACAUCAUAUCUCCUGCUGGAACUACUAGUACACCACAAUUCCUUCGGAACGAGAGCUUUUCCUCAAUCAGCUCCACAAAUCUCAAAUAUUUCAUCUUCUAUUUCUUCCUUUAUUAUCAACACAGACAACACAAUCCUUUUCAUUUUUCACAUGUAAUAAGUUGUGAACACCCACCAACACUGUUAUUAUGUUUUUUUUUUUUUUUUUUGUAAUUUUUGUACCAGAUUUUGUUUAAUCGAAUACCGACGGAGUCCGGCCGACCACCUGCUAAAACCGUUGAACCGCCGACUGUCGAAACCGUGGGCUCAAACGGACGGAAACGGACUGUAAUAUUCACACCGUCGGUUUGAUCGGUUCCGAAUUUUGAGACCGAAAACCGCACCGAAACGAACCGCCCGUUGUCCAGGCCUACUUCUAGGCACAUAUGACCAUAUUAUUCACAUUUUUUAACUAUAAGUCACACACAACAUGUCUUCAUUCUGGGUGUCCUUAUGUUGCACCAUUCUUUUUACCGUGCCUACAAAAUUACUAAAUUUUGUUUUUCGUUCUCAUAAAAAAAUGGCAUGUUUGUGUCUAAAAAUGAGCAACAUAAGGACACUCAUAAUGAAGAAUAUAUACCUAAUUUUCAACACACGCUUUUAGUUCAUAUUAAAUUAAAAUUUGUUUAAUUAUCCUUAAACUUUGAAAUUCAUAAAUGACACUUUUGUAGACAAAUUUAAAACAUAAUAAAAACUCUACCGCAAAAGCUAGACUCGAAAUUUUUAGGGGAAUAUUUUUAUUAUUCUUAACUUGAACUUUUGAAAUUUUAAAAAAUCCAUGUUUAUUUUAACAAAUCCAAAUUUCACAACUUGACCUUAAUUCGACUCUAACAAUUUGACGAAUUUAGGGUAUGUUUGGAACUGCAGAAACAAUAAGGAAAGAAAGCAAAGAGGAAACAAAGGUUGUUGAAAAACAUUUUUUCCCUUGCAUGGUUGCAUUGUCAGAGUGGAAAGAAAGUUUAAUUAUGAUGGAGCCCACGUGUUAAAACUUUCCGCUCAAAUCAGCGAAGAAAGCUUGGCAUGGGUUCCAAAAUUGUAAAAUUACAAUACUGCUGUUAUUUGAAUAAAAAAAUUCCAAUGGCAUGUACUUUCUUUUUUCUCACCUGUGACUGUGACUUUGGUGGCAUUCAUCAUUUAUUACUAUUAUACAUAUAUACACCCAUCCAUUAACAUUUUUUCUUAUAAGUUAACGGUUAAUAAAAUAAUUCCCAUAUAAUAUUAUGCUACCGUUAAUUUAUUAUUUGUUUUUUUUAUUAAUAUAUGUUAGUACAAUAUCAAUUUUUAAUAUAAGGAUAUUUAUGUCAUUUUAAUAAACAUAGAUCUAUCUUUCCUUUAUCUUUCUUUCCUCUUUCUUUCAUACCAAACGGUCAAAUAAUCAUCUCACUUUUCAUUCACUUUCUACUCACUUUUAUUCCUUCAACUAUCUUUCCAUUUACAAUAUUUCCUUUCACUUUCUUUGAUCUUCCAAACAAACCUUUAAUAUACUAGCCUUGAAAUCAUGCAAUAUGACUUGUGAAUUAAAUAUAUAUGUUCCUCAUGUUUAAUCAAUUCAUGCUCAUAUUCAAAGUUGAUGAUAUCUCCCAACUAGUUUAAAUUUUUUCACAUUUGAUUUGACGUACAAAGUCACAAGUAUUAGUACCAAUAAUGUCCCAUGUAUUUUGGUUAAAACAAGCAGGAUAAUCAUGCGACCCUUAAGCCUUCCACAUACUUUCAAUAUUUUUUUCAAUUCAUCUGAACGUUCAAUAGUUAAAACAAAUCUCUAUCAACAUAGGUAUUGAAGAAGAUCACUAGAUAUUAUGAAUUGACCAUAUUUAUGACAAGAUCGUUGUCUUCCACCCAAAUCCCAUAAGCAUCGUCACAACCAUUUAGGUCUUAAUUUGAUAAUCCACUUUGAAGCUUCUUUUCUAAAUGAGUUAUUGUGAGUUAAUUUCUUUAAAAACGAAAACGACUUUCUACUUAAACAACGGAAACUUAAAUUAAAGGAUCAAGGCAUACCUCCAACCAUUGUUCCUGUUUGAAGAUGGUGAGGCUCUUCUCAUUAGGGAACCAACAUCUACUUCUACUUUUGCCAUCAAGAAGUUAUAGUAUAUGCAACACUUACUCCUCAUUCCAAAUGGGACAGUGGGCAGUUACUAUACUAUAAUUGAGGGAAAGAAUAAAAGACAACUUUAUGCUUAAGAGCAUCCACAUUGGUAGGGUCUUUACAAUUUAAGACACGGUACCUAAUAUGUACUCCCAUUGUGAUAAAAAAAAUUGGGGGUCUCUUAAGACCCGGGGUCUCACUUAAGACCCCAAUCUUAAGUGAACCCCACACCACUUUUCAAUAAAAUAAUCAUUAUUUGAGUUGUUUUUGUUAUCGAUGGGACCCAUUUAUAUCUUUUGAUAUAGGAUCAACAUUGGAGUGGUUGAGUACCUAUUAGGUACCAUUAUUAAAAAAUAAUAAAAAAUGAUGUGUUAAUGUGAGACCCGUUUAUGACAUCAAAUAUGAGGAUCUCCAUUGUGGAUGCUCUAAAGAUGCUUAAUGAGUAAUUGCCAUAAUGAGCCCCGAUAGUAUUGACGAAAAGAAAAUAAAUUGGGAUAACGCAUAACAAACGAUGUUGAAGUGAAGGGAUUACGUUACUAACCUGUAACAAUAAGAUUAGUAAAAUUGUUACUAACCGGUAACAAUAAAAUUAGCAAAAUUGUUACUAUCCAUUCCAUUAACAAUAGGAAUGUAGUUUUAAAGUAGUUUGUUAUGCUAAGAGUAGUAAUAGAGAGAAUAAUAAGUGUUUUGUGAAUAAAAUUUGGAGUUUGAUGCUGACCCCAAAAAGUGCAAGUACAAUUUACUUUAUCGUAUCAAUUUGUGCUUUUAUUGAGAUUUUGACACUGACUCAAAGAAUGCAAUUUACUUUUAUCGUAUCAAGCCCUUAAUGAUAAUUACCACUUGUUUAAAUAAAUAAAUAAAAAUGGGAAAAAUUCAACAAACCUAACGUGCAUUUUUCCUUCAAGCGAAUUGCAUUGAACCGAGCUUCUAAAUUCUUCUUCUGAUGAAUAAUGGACUCGAAUGUAUAAUGCUUCAAGAUCGUGAUAUUCUGGAGAGUAGCCAAGUUUUGGUUCAUAUAAGCAUUUUUAUUCUAACUCCUUUGUAUCAUUUCAUUGUAUAUGAAUUAUUCCUGAGCCAUACGCUAAUUCUAUGAUAAAUUAAAAAUGUUUUGUGAAGCUACGCUAUUUUUCUAAUUUCGGAAGAACCUAAACAAAUGCUUUUGAGUAGGGUAAUAUCCACUUCCUAUAACAAAAAGUUUUGUUAAGCCUUUCAAAAGUUAAUUCUAUCACUUCUCUCAACAAAAAAAAAAAAAACAAAAAAAAAGGUUAAUUCUAUCACAAAAAUUAUUACAUUUUAUAGUCAAAGGUGGAUCACCAACCUAUAUUUCCUAUGGGAGAUAUGAUAUCAACGAAAUUACUUGCUAGAAUUGUGACUCUCCUUGAAUUUAUCUCUAAUGCCUAUAAGAUCACUAUACUCAACAAUUAUCUUCAUUAGGACUAUAAUAGAUAGGACAUUAGGACUAAAUAAUCAAACCUCACCAUUAGUCAUCUCAAUUCUAAAAUUGAUGAAUUGUAUUUUUUUUUAUAAGGGUAGUAAUACUUGCCAUGUCAAAGCUUCCAUGCAAUUUAGUGAGAAAUUCAAACUAAAAUCCACGAACAAAAAACUACAUCACUCCCAAAUUAUACUAGUUUCUGAGAGAGUGUGAAUAAGAAGGGAAAGGAGGAAAAUAUCUGAAAGAGAAAGCCCAUAACGAAGAUUCUCUUUUAAAAAAAGCCCAUAACAAAUGCAGUUAACCCUGGUAAUAUUCUGACACAACAGUAACCGCAGUUAACACCUCGGAAAAAGGAUCAAAAAUAUCUUCGUGCAUCAUUUACAAUCUUAACCCCACCAAUUAACCCAUUCCCAUCUAUAUAUAACUCCACCUUCUUCAGUACAAAAUCACAAAAUAUCUUAUCUUCUAAUCUUUUUACUGUAAAAUCUAGGGUUUUAGUUUUUUCCAUCAAUGGCUUCUGCAGAUGUUGAAUACCGUUGCUUCGUCGGAGGUCUUGCAUGGGCCACCGAUAGCGAAGCUCUCGAGAAAGCCUUCUCUCAAUAUGGAGAAAUCAUCGAUUCGAAGGUCUGUUUGUUGCUUACAGGCUUCGGAUCGGAUCUGACACGAUUUUGAUUCGGAUUUCUCAUGAAACCUUUCUGAUCUGUGAUCUCCGAUCUGUUCUGUUCUGUUCUGUGUUACUUGAUCUCUAUUAUUCUGUUACUGUUACUGGGAUUGAUUCUGUUACUAUAUGAUAUAUUGUUACUCACCUUAAUAGGUACGUUCAUCUUCAUCUUUUAACCAAAAGAAGAAGAUCGAUCGGUUACUAUAUGGUUUUUUGUUUUUUUUACUGUGUUAAAAGUUUUAGAUCUGAUUUUGUGUUUUUUAUUUUUGUGCAGAUUAUCAAUGAUCGUGAAACUGGAAGAUCCAGAGGUUUUGGAUUUGUGACAUUUGCUGAUGAGAAAUCGAUGAGAGAUGCUAUUGAAGGGAUGAACGGUCAGGAUAUGGAUGGAAGGAACAUUACUGUUAAUGAGGCUCAGAGCCGUGGUAGUGGUGGUGGAGGAGGCCGUGGUGGCGGUGGAUACGGUGGUGGUGGUGGUGGAUAUGGCGGUGGUGGUCGCCGUGAGGGUGGUUACAACAGAAGCAGUGGUGGUGGAGGUGGUUAUGGAGGAGGAGGUGGUGGUGGUUAUGGUGGUGGUAGGGACCGUGGUUAUGGUGAU
Molecule: long non-coding RNA, 17868 nt
Filed under: Medicago truncatula (barrel medic)
Lineage: Eukaryota; Viridiplantae; Streptophyta; Magnoliopsida; Fabales; Fabaceae
Description: long non-coding RNA (MTRU_LNC001991)
Source: RNAcentral